UACGGAGGGAGCUAGCGUUGUUCGGAAUUACUGGGCGUAAAGCGCGCGUAGGCGGCUUUGUAAGUUAGAGGUGAAAGCCCGGAGCUCAACUCCGGAACUGCCUUUAAAACUGCAUCGCUUGAAUCCGGGAGAGGUGAGUGGAAUUCCGAGUGUAGAGGUGAAAUUCGUAGAUAUUCGCAAGAACACCAGUGGCGAAGGCGGCUUACUGGUCCGGUUCUGACGCUGAGGCGCGAAAGCGUGGGGAGCAAACAGG
Molecule: ribosomal RNA, 253 nt
Filed under: uncultured bacterium
Lineage: Bacteria
Description: partial 16S ribosomal RNA
Rfam family: Bacterial small subunit ribosomal RNA
Source: RNAcentral